Peromyscus leucopus (white-footed mouse) is the source of this 5053-nucleotide long non-coding RNA. RefSeq lists it as uncharacterized. The transcript has 2 exons. The record is from RefSeq and is a predicted model, not a curated record. Lineage: Eukaryota; Metazoa; Chordata; Mammalia; Rodentia; Cricetidae.
CAGCAGCUACUGAGCUAUGAUUCCAUCAUUUUGUGUCCAGGAUGACAAGAGAAUGGGAUGCCCUGAGAGUCAAGACAUAUUGGUCUUAAAGAUUCCACUAUAUAUCACCCCAAAGUGUGUAUUUCCAGAGAUGCCAAUUGCCUUGUCUGCUGUGAUCAUGUCUGAAGAGACAAUCCACAUCUACAUAAAGUCUAAUUUAGGAGUAUUAACUCUUGUGGAAAUAUGAGUUAACCUUGGAAUGAACCGUUUGUUAGGAAUGCUUCAUGUGACCAUUGUCAUAGUUCUUCUGGAGUGGGAUCUAAUAUCAAGAAAAUUAAAUGUGAAGCAUUUUUUAAGGAAUUUCUUUCAUUUAAGUCAAAAUUAAGAUGUGAUUUUUGAGGUUAGCAUUAUAUAAGUGGACUAUCAUACACAUCUUAUAUGGGCUUGGAAUAGGUUAACAUGAAAGUAGGCCAAUUGCUUUGCUCUACUCAGCCUUACCCAUAUUCCCUUCUAGGGCAAUCCAUCUGUGAGAGAAUGAGUAGAGGGAGUAGAAUGAAACCAAUGAAAAGACAAUGGGAACUAUGGGAACUGGUGCAAAUUGGGGCAUUUAGGUUACGUGUCAUGCCUGAAUGCAUCAUUUCAUAUCCCUUAAGCACGGAGGUGGUUUCUUUUUCUUUUUCUUUUUCUUUUUUUUUUCAUUUCCUUCAGUAACUAAGUUCACUGUACUUUCUGAAAAUCUUUGGUACUUCAACACCUGUGUAGAGCUGCUGAGAUGCACAUAGUUACAGACCAUGCCAGGAUAAAUAAUUUGCUGUGUUCUUGAACAGACUAAGGUAUGAUCCCAACAGGAGUCUUUUCCUUUGGGAUAUUCAGGAUUAUCCUCAUGGGAGUAAUGAUACUUUAAUUCAGUAGGUAGUGGCUUGAUAAACACAGGUAGUAGUGUUUCCCACGGUAAUUUUACACUGUUAAUUUGUGAGCAUGUACACAUUGAUGGGUGUGUCAGCAUGUGUGAAGGUGGACAUACAUGUGUGUUCUUGUAUGCAUGGAGUACAGAAGUCAACAUAGACUCGAGUUGCUUUCUGUCUCCUCAGAUUACAGGCAUAUAUUCUCAGAUCCUACCUAUUUACGUUGGUCCUAGGAAUCCAAACUCAGGUCCCCAUUCUUGCCUAGCAAGCAGUUUGCUUACUGAGGCAUGUCCCUGGACACUUUCUAUACAGUUUGAUGAAUGGAAAGUCAGUAAUUUGGAAGCCUGAGGAAUAUGGGUAGAGUUGUUGGCUAGAUAAAUUCAUUCACAGUUACAAUCAUUUUAACCACUAAUUAAUUAGUAUAGCUGCAAUGUAGGCAUUUCAUAUUGUCUGUAUUUCUCAAAACUACAAGUUAAAUCGUAAUACUUCCUUCUGUUUUAUAAAUAAUAAAAUCAGGCCUCGGAAGAGUAUGGCUAAUAAGUAACACAGCUAAGUCAAGAAUGUAAGGUUUCCUGGUUGAAAAGCCUGCAUUAUAUUGAAAUUGGGUAUGAAUUAUCUCUUUCACCAUCUUGAUUACUCAUCAAACUAUCUAUCUACUCCAACGACCAAUGGAUCAAGUUAUUUAUGUAUCUUGUUAAGCAGAUAUUAAAUUAAGUAGGACUUUCAAUGUGAAAUUAGUAGUAUAAAUUAUACUUGAUUGUAAACUGAAAAUGAGGUGAUUUCUACAGGGCAUGGUAUUCACCUCUACACUUUCCUUUGAAUGACACCCAACUCCUUUUUCACUGGGGAAAGAAAUUGUUGCAACCAAUUUGGUUCUUCUAUUAAAAGCUGUGCUUUGGCCUCAGUCUCUGAAAAUUCCAAGUGACAAAAGACUUUUUUUCCCCCUCCACGAAAUAUAUUUUUAAUUUGUCCAAGGCAAGGUGGUAAAUUAUUCACAGAGCCUUGUUCCUCUCCUGUUUUUACAACACAGUGCUUUAAAAUAUGCAAAGUAUUGGAUUGAAAUCUUGUGUUGGACAACAGUCCUUUAAUGUUCUCUCAGGCCUCGCUAUGGAGGCACUGAGCAAAGAGGAGAAAGAUUUACUGUUGAUCAAAUCCUGUGACUUAGAAACAAUGUAAGGACCUUCAAAUGUCAUUAUUUCACUCAUUCACUCAUUCAUUCAUGCUUGGAAAAGUAUUUAUUAAGGGCCUCCUAGUGCACUGGGAGGGAAAGGGUUAAGGCGGAAUGGUAAAGAAAAGGACAGGAUCCUCCAGAAUGAGAUCACCUACUUUCUAGUUCUGCCCCAUAAUUUUUAUCAGCUUAGGGCCACUUCUGCAGAUAUUCAGUUCUCUGCCUCAGUUCUCUCUUUGUACCUAGUCAUAAUAAUAGUUCUUUCCUAACACAUAUUGUGAGGAUUAAAAACAAAAUGAAGUAUUAGAAGUCCUUAGCAAACACUGACACAUGGCUGAGGGGAAGGAAACUCUUAGCUUUCUGGCACCUAGCAAAUUAUUGCUGUUGUUGUCACUAACAUCACUGUUAUUAUUUAAUGGAGCUAAAGAACUCAGGGAAUCUCCAAUGGAAGCCACAUCCUGUCACUCGCUAGAAGAGUGGGAGGUAUUCAGAAACUCACUUUCUUGUCGGGAUAUCAGUUUCCCAAUCUCUACAGAAAGAACUGUAGAAAAUAUUAUUUAUUAUAGGGUAUUUUUUUCUCCUUAGGAACACUGUAUUCACAGAGACAAAAUGCUUUGAUAAACCUUUUGAGGUGUCAAGUAAGUUCCUAAGGGCAUAAUUAAAUAACAAAAGAUGAGCACUGAACUGUCAUGUACAGGACAAGAUGAGCAUUUGUUCAGCUCUUUAGGGAAAUAGGAAGGACAGGGAGUGGGAAGCACACAUUCAAGCUGGGGGAGGGUCCCAUAACUUAGGUAUUUCCAGUACUUUUUAAAUUUUAAUGAAAACUGUUAAAUUCACAAAACCACUUGAUGUGAGUGAUCUGAUGGAGGGUAGUUCAGAGACAAAUUCUGUGCCUGGAAUUACAUGCAGUAGCUUUCCUUAGUACCUCUGAAAAUCAUGUUUUGGGUCAAAGAAAACAUUUUGUAGACUAGGUAUCUGUGGGAUGUGCCUGAUUAAGCAAGCAUGCAUGCAUACUUGGAGUAUAUGUCCACCUGUUUAAAAGGCCCCUCAAUUUAUGUUCAUGACAGUGGGGAUUUUUUUAAAUGUCUACAUUCUUUCUAAUAAACUGUUGGAAGAUUUCUUGGCUCUCCUCCUAAGUGUCUGGUUUGAUGUAAUUUCAUGUAUUUACCACUUACUGGAAUGGAGUUCUUAUUUUUUGAGGGAAACUUGGGACUGCUCCUGUUUGGAAAAAGGCUUACUGUAUUGUUACAGGGAACCCUUUAAAGUGGAUCUGUAAUGGAGAACUGUAGAUGAACUGUGCAGCAGCUGGAACAGUGUUGUGACUUGAUUGAAAUAAAACUCGAUGUGUUGUCAAAAAAAAAAAAAAAAAAAAAAGGCACACAUGGAUGCCUCCCAAGGCUUGACUAUGAGUAACUAUCCUUGGGUAUAUCUAUAUUCAAUUCUUACAUACAUAAAGGUAUGAUAGAUGCAUAUAGGCUUAUAUGUGAAGUUUUACAUGUAUGGGAAUAUCUGUACUACAUUCAUACCUUUUUAUACAUGAGUAUGAGGGCAAAUCCUCCUUGGCCAUUUGUGUUUUCUUUGUGAGUGUAGUUGGUGUUCCCCACAUUGCAUAACCAAUAACUUUCAUUUGGCUGAGAAGGCUGAUAAUAAAACUAUAUGGCCUCCAAAGGAAGGAUAGGGAUGUCACAACAUCCCCAUGUACAGUCACUGUGGUCCCUCCUGCAGAACAGUAUUUUCCAUUGACAAAAAGAGCAAACUCCCAGCUUUUUCCAUCCUCUGUGUGUCUGAGUUUUGCUUUGUGCCUCUGAGGAAAGGUGGUGCAGGGAGUGAGGCAAAGACCCUGGAGGACUAGAAGACUGUGGAAAGGCCUGUGUGGGGUGAAGAGGCAAUUUGCAGAAAUGCCCAAGUGGGAAUGCAGCUCCAAACAGCACAUUCUCUUAAUAUACACGAAAUUAAGUCUUAAUAAUGCAGCAAGAAGUCCAUUAACCCCUCUUGAUCUAAGGCUUCCUUCUGCCAGCUCUCAGUCCAGAGGGAACCAGCUUGUUUCACCUUCUGUUCCACAGGCCCCUAAGAGAGCCUGAGCUGACAUGUGGAAUAUUUAUUUCCACUGACUCAUAGCCUUAACUCCUAAAAUUCACUUACUAUACACUUCUCUACCCAUCUAUUGAUGCAUCCAUUUAUCCAAUCAUCUGUCCAAACAUCCAUCCUCUGCCCAUCCAUUUACCUGUCAAAUGAUAACUGAACAUCUGUUCUCUGUUGUACCCUAGGAGAAGCAUUGGGAAUAUUAGAAAGAUGAAUUGGGUAAUUCACAUUUCCUCCUCCCACCACCCACUGUCCCUGAAUCUCAAAGUGUGAUUGGAUGUAAAGUCAUCUCUAAACUAGAACUUUUCGGGUUCAAAGAGAAGAGUAGCAUUUCCUACUGUCCAACCAGGAAUGGUGAUCCAUGAGAAAAAGCAAACCUACAUAUUUUGCUAGAAAUUCAGUCAAGUCUAGUAUAUGGACCCUCAUGAUGUUCCUUAAUCACUUCGUGAGAUUUUAGUCUCAUUGCUGAAGUAGAUAGGUCAAUAAAUAAGUUGACUAUUGACCUGGGAUGCUUUCAUAUUUAUUCAUUUAUGAUCUUAUCAUUAUUUGCUAAGUACACAAUCCAUGGUCACAUUGUUCUAAGUGGGAAUGGCAUAGAACUAUUAGAAGAGCCCCAGUCUCACAGUAUUUUUGCUCUAGUGGAGGGAAUAGGCUGUUAACUCAGAACCCCCCCCCCUCCAAAAAAAAAAACAAGAUAAUACUGUGUUGCAGAAAUAAAGAGAAUUUUGAGCAUACAUGGAAAGUAUUAUCAACCCAGGUAGGGUAUGGAGUGGGAGAUAGAGAGACAUAUUCUAAGAAUAGAUAAUAUCAGAAUAUGAGAAAUGGGUGAAUGCUAUCCAGGACAGAAAAGCAGAGUAAGGUAAACUGGGUUCAUUUGACAGAGCAGAAUAGUCAACAGUGAUAAAAACAACAACAACAA